GGCCCGAGUGCGCCGGCGCGACCCGCCUGGCUUUGGCAGCGCGGCGACUGAGGCCGGGCUCCAGCUCCGUGGCUCCCGCCGGCGCCGGCCCGGUGGCUCUGCUGUCUUGGCUGCAUCUCUCCUGCAUAUUUAUGAUCGUCUGUCACAUUCCCUGUCCGUGGACAGUGUCCAAAGCCUAGCUCGGGGGAGCGUGCCAACAGGUGCAUCCCUUAUACUGUCUGUUCUUGGCUCUCCGGCUUCUGAGGUCCUGAAGGGAAUGUGCUCUGGUUCACUCCACAAUGCCACCUGUUCUUAUGGGAACCCAACUAUUCAUCUCCCACUUUCGUCUUGAUUACCACAAAUCAUUACAAAUAUACAAUAAAAUUUCCAAUUUUCAAAGCAA
Molecule: non-coding RNA, 382 nt
Organism: Peromyscus maniculatus bairdii (prairie deer mouse)
Lineage: Eukaryota; Metazoa; Chordata; Mammalia; Rodentia; Cricetidae
Source: RefSeq, a predicted model, not a curated record